AGCGAACGCUGGCGGCAGGCUUAACACAUGCAAGUCGAGCGGACCUGUCGGGGUCAGCGGCGGACGGGUGGGUAACGCGUGGGAACGUGCCUUCCGGUUCGGAAUAACCCUGGGAAACGAGGGCUAAUACCGGAUACGCCCUUAUGGGGGAAGGUUUACUGCCGGAGGAUCGGCCCGCGGCUGAUUAGCUAGUUGGUGGGGUAACGGCCUACCAAGGAGACGAUCAGUAGCUGGUCUGAGAGGAUGAUCAGCCACACUGGGACUGAGACACGGCCCAGACUCCUACGGGAGGCAGCAGUGGGGAAUAUUGGACAAUGGGCGCAAGCCUGAUCCAGCCAUGCCGCGUGAGUGAUGAAGGCCUUAGGGUUGUAAAGCUCUUUUAUCCGGGACGAUAAUGACGGUACCGGAGGAAUAAGCCCCGGCUAACUUCGUG
This 433-nucleotide ribosomal RNA is filed under the name uncultured bacterium. Its description in RNAcentral is "partial 16S ribosomal RNA". It matches the Rfam family "Bacterial small subunit ribosomal RNA", at positions 29 to 507 of the family's 1533-position model. The record is from RNAcentral.